UACAGAGGGGGCAAGCGUUGUCCGGACUUACUGGGCGUAAAGCGCAUGCAGGUGGCUGUGCAAGUAUGCUGUGAAAGCCCCGUGCUUAACACGGGGAGGCCAGUAUAGACUGCACGGCUCGAGGACUGCAGAGGGUAGGGGAAUUGCUGGUGUAGUGGUGAAAUGCGUAGAGAUCGGAAAGAACACCAACGGCGAAAGCACUCUGCUGGGCCGACACUGACACUGAGAGACGAAAGCUAGGGGAGCGAAUGGG
RNAcentral lists this ribosomal RNA (253 nucleotides) under uncultured bacterium. RNAcentral describes it as "partial 16S ribosomal RNA". It matches the Rfam family "Bacterial small subunit ribosomal RNA", at positions 524 to 776 of the family's 1533-position model. The record is from RNAcentral.